AGCUCCUCCGGCGACUAUGGAUGGUUUCCGGCCGUAAGCUCCGGUGACGAAAGAUGCGAAGAAGGAAGCGACCAGGCCUGCUAAAUAGAACUUGCGGGAAGAACUUCUUCAAGAAUGGCUCCAUCGACGUCACUCCACCUUCAAGAAUUAUAAACUAAUUAUCCCGUAUCGAUUAUUGGA
Molecule: non-coding RNA, 180 nt
Organism: Erythranthe guttata (spotted monkey flower)
Lineage: Eukaryota; Viridiplantae; Streptophyta; Magnoliopsida; Lamiales; Phrymaceae
Source: RefSeq, a predicted model, not a curated record